RNAcentral lists this transfer RNA (68 nucleotides) under Mystacina tuberculata (New Zealand lesser short-tailed bat). RNAcentral describes it as "tRNA-Trp". Lineage: Eukaryota; Metazoa; Chordata; Mammalia; Chiroptera; Mystacinidae. The record is from RNAcentral.
AGGAGUUUAGGUUAGCCUAGACCAAGAGCCUUCAAAGCUCUAAGCAAAUAGCAUAUAUUUAACUCCUG